Paramuricea clavata is the source of this 429-nucleotide non-coding RNA. Lineage: Eukaryota; Metazoa; Cnidaria; Anthozoa; Malacalcyonacea; Plexauridae. The record is from the annotation of a GenBank genome assembly.
CUGUCAGAAAUGCAUGGCAGGCUCUCUAUAUUUUAACACACAUCACUUGUGACUGGCAAGCUAACAUCACAUGGAAAUCACAAUUGAUGUGACGAUAUCGGCCGGCCUGUUUUAUUUCAUGUAUUAAUUUAUAUAAAGGAAACACAAAGAAUUCAUGAAUAAAUUAUAUUUAAACUCUAAUUGUUAGAACAACAUAUAUUUACAAUUGUAUUGCACGCGUCAUUCUGACAGAACUGUCAAAGAGAAAGAUCACAGUGUGAACAGCAGUAACUCUGAAUAAAGCUUACAAGGCGAUUAUACUGUAUAUACAACAAUUAACAUGGCAAUCGUGUUCUCUGUUCGUGUUGUUCUGAUGUUUUCAGUAUUGCUACAUUCAGUCUCGACGACAAGAUUUCUACCUUCAAUGAUUUGGGAUAACGUCAGUCCACU